GGAACAAUGGUUAAGCGGUUAAGACAUCGCCUUUUCACGGCGGUAACGAGGGUUCGACUCCCUCUUGUUCCA
This 72-nucleotide transfer RNA is filed under the name Caudoviricetes sp. Its description in RNAcentral is "tRNA-Glu". It matches the Rfam family "tRNA". From Rfam's summary of the family: Transfer RNA (tRNA) molecules are approximately 80 nucleotides in length. Their secondary structure includes four short double-helical elements and three loops (D, anti-codon, and T loops). The record is from RNAcentral. Lineage: Duplodnaviria; Heunggongvirae; Uroviricota; Caudoviricetes.